RNAcentral lists this ribosomal RNA (1390 nucleotides) under Brenneria salicis. RNAcentral's name for it is "bacterial SSU rRNA". It matches the Rfam family "Bacterial small subunit ribosomal RNA". Lineage: Bacteria; Pseudomonadati; Pseudomonadota; Gammaproteobacteria; Enterobacterales; Pectobacteriaceae. The record is from RNAcentral.
UGCAGUCGGGCGGUAGCACAGAGGAGCUUGCUCCUUGGGUGACGAGCGGCGGACGGGUGAGUAAAGUCUGGGGAUCUGCCUGAUGGAGGGGGAUAACUACUGGAAACGGUAGCUAAUACCGCAUGACGUCUUCGGACCAAAGUGGGGGACCUUCGGGCCUCACGCCAUGAGAUGAACCCAGAUGGGAUUAGCUGGUAGGUGAGGUAACGGCUCACCUAGGCGACGAUCCCUAGCUGGUCUGAGAGGAUGACCAGCCACACUGGAACUGAGACACGGUCCAGACUCCUACGGGAGGCAGCAGUGGGGAAUAUUGCACAAUGGGGGAAACCCUGAUGCAGCCAUGCCGCGUGUGUGAAGAAGGCCUUCGGGUUGUAAAGCACUUUCAGCGGGGAGGAAGGCAAUAAACUUAAUAAGUUUGUUGAUUGACGUUACCCGCAGAAGAAGCACCGGCUAACUCCGUGCCAGCAGCCGCGGUAAUACGGAGGGUGCAAGCGUUAAUCGGAAUGACUGGGCGUAAAGCGCACGCAGGCGGUCUGUUAAGUUGGAUGUGAAAUCCCCGGGCUCAACCCGGGAACAGCAUUCAAAACUGACAGGCUAGAGUCUCGUAGAGGGGGGUAGAAUUCCAGGUGUAGCGGUGAAAUGCGUAGAGAUCUGGAGGAAUACCGGUGGCGAAGGCGGCCCCCUGGACGAAGACUGACGCUCAGGUGCGAAAGCGUGGGGAGCAAACAGGAUUAGAUACCCUGGUAGUCCACGCCGUAAACGAUGUCGACUUGGAGGCUGUGGUCUUGAACCGUGGCUUCCGGAGCUAACGCGUUAAGUCGACCGCCUGGGGAGUACGGCCGCAAGGUUAAAACUCAAAUGAAUUGACGGGGGCCCGCACAAGCGGUGGAGCAUGUGGUUUAAUUCGAUGCAACGCGAAGAACCUUACCUACUCUUGACAUCCAGAGAAGACUGUAGAGAUACGGUUGUGCCUUCGGGAGCUCUGAGACAGGUGCUGCAUGGCUGUCGUCAGCUCGUGUUGUGAAAUGUUGGGUUAAGUCCCGCAACGAGCGCAACCCUUAUCCUUUGUUGCCAGCGAUACGGUCGGGAACUCAAAGGAGACUGCCGGUGAUAAACCGGAGGAAGGUGGGGAUGACGUCAAGUCAUCAUGGCCCUUACGAGUAGGGCUACACACGUGCUACAAUGGCGCAUACAAAGAGAAGCGAGCCUGCGAGGGUGAGCGGACCUCAUAAAGUGCGUCGUAGUCCGGAUUGGAGUCUGCAACUCGACUCCAUGAAGUCGGAAUCGCUAGUAAUCGUAGAUCAGAAUGCUACGGUGAAUACGUUCCCGGGCCUUGUACACACCGCCCGUCACACCAUGGGAGUGGGUUGCAAAAGAAGUAGGUAGCUUA